UCUCCCUGAGGGUUUAACCCUCCUGAAGGGCCGUGGAAGACUACCACGUUGAUAGGCUGGGUGUGGAAGCGCUGUGAGGCGUGAAGCUAACCAGUACUAAUUGCCCGUGCGGCUUGACUAU
RNAcentral lists this ribosomal RNA (121 nucleotides) under Gammaproteobacteria bacterium. RNAcentral describes it as "partial 23S ribosomal RNA". It matches the Rfam family "Bacterial large subunit ribosomal RNA", at positions 2810 to 2925 of the family's 2925-position model. The record is from RNAcentral. Lineage: Bacteria; Pseudomonadati; Pseudomonadota; Gammaproteobacteria.